GCCUAGUUCCUUAUUAUAAAUUCACAAGGUAAAAAUUAUAUACAAGUAAAUAUACUAAUUCUAUCAUUAUUACAAAAAUUUUAAAAUUAAAUAAAUAAUCUUAAUAAAAAACCUAAAAUAAUUAUAAAAUCAAAAUAGAAAAUAAUGAACUAAAACGUAAUCUUAAAGAUAGCUGGUUUAAAGCUUACUAUUAUAUUUUAUAAAACAAAUUAUAGGUUAUUAACUUCAAAGCUUAUCCCUUAAAGAAUAAAUAAGUUAAUAUUUAUAAUUAAAAAAUUAAAUAAAAACAAUUAACUUUAAAAAAUUAAAAUUUUUCUUAAGAAACUAGAUAUCUUGGGAAACGAUUAACAUUUCAUUUCCAUAAAUAAUUUAAUAAUAAUUAUGAUACAUUAACUAUAAAUUAUUUAUAAAUCAACCCAAAUCGAGACAAGUAAAUUAAAUACUAAAAUUUUGAUAAACCCUGAUACAAAAGGUACAAUAAAUAAAAUAUACUUUUAAAAAUUUAAAAUAAUAUUUCAUAAAACAAUUACAUUACCAAUAAACUAUAAUUUAAAAAAUCAAUUCUACAAAAUAUACUAAGACAAAAUUCAAUAAAAUUAUUUUUAUUA
This 608-nucleotide ribosomal RNA is filed under the name Schistocerca lineata (birdwing grasshopper). Its description in RNAcentral is "partial 16S ribosomal RNA". The record is from RNAcentral. Lineage: Eukaryota; Metazoa; Arthropoda; Insecta; Orthoptera; Acrididae.